UUACUUUUUCUUCCUCCCCCACAACAAAAAAGCAACGAAUAAAUUCAUGAACAUGCCUUCUUUUGCAAGUAGGAUCGGUCUUCCAUGCAUUCUCUUUCUUCUCCGUUCUUAUAGUUUGCAGGUUUCCUGAGCGCCAGGAAACCUUCCUUUGAUUUGGGGGACCGCAUAAAACAUAGUUGCUAAUCUGCGAGGAUUCGUUCUAGGAAUCGGGGGGAAUGAGGCUAAAUGUGUUUCUGCUGAUCUUGCUUCUUCAUGGGGCCGCAGCUGUGAAGCCUCCUGCAAAGUGGCAGACCUUGAGCGGUGAGGCUCCUGUGGUUGUAGCACGAGGUGGCUUUUCUGGGAUCUUCCCCGAGUCUAGCCAAUAUGCAUACCAGAUUGCAGAGUCUACAAGUUUGAAAAAUGUGGUUCUGCUUUGUGAUCUUCAAUUAACAAAAGAUGGAGGUGGUAUCUGCCAGUCAGAUUUGAGACUUGAUAAUUCGACAACUAUUUCAUCUGUCUUCCCUAAAGGGCAGAAAACUUAUUCUGUAAACGGACAGCCUCUUACUGGAUGGUUUUCGGUUGAUUUCACU
Molecule: non-coding RNA, 569 nt
Organism: Musa acuminata subsp. malaccensis (wild Malaysian banana)
Lineage: Eukaryota; Viridiplantae; Streptophyta; Magnoliopsida; Zingiberales; Musaceae
Source: RefSeq, a predicted model, not a curated record